GGGUUGUGAGGUUAAGCGACUAAGCGUACACGGUGGAUGCCCUGGCAGUCAGAGGCGAUGAAGGACGUGCUAAUCUGCGAAAAGCGCCGGCGAGGUGAUAUGAACCUUUGACCCGGCGAUGUCCGAAUGGGGAAACCCAGUGUGAUUCGUCACACUAUCGUUAACUGAAUACAUAGGUUAACGAGGCGAACCGGGGGAACUGAAACAUCUAAGUACCCCGAGGAAAAGAAAUCAACCGAGAUUCCCCCAGUAGCGGCGAGCGAACGGGGAGCAGCCCAGAGUCUGAAUCAGCUUGUGUGUUAGUGGAAGCGUCUGGAAAGUCGCACGGUACAGGGUGACAGUCCCGUACACGAAAAUGCACAGGUUGUGAACUCGAAGAGUAGGGCGGGACACGUGGUAUCCUGUCUGAAUAUGGGGGGACCAUCCUCCAAGGCUAAAUACUCCUGACUGACCGAUAGUGAACCAGUACCGUGAGGGAAAGGCGAAAAGAACCCCGGCGAGGGGAGUGAAAAAGAACCUGAAACCGUGUACGUACAAGCAGUGGGAGCACCUUCGUGGUGUGACUGCGUACCUUUUGUAUAAUGGGUCAGCGACUUAUAUUCUGUAGCAAGGUUAACCGUAUAGGGGAGCCGAAGGGAAACCGAGUCUUAACUGGGCGUUAAGUUGCAGGGUAUAGACCCGAAACCCGGUGAUCUAGCCAUGGGCAGGUUGAAGGUUGGGUAACACUAACUGGAGGACCGAACCGACUAAUGUUGAAAAAUUAGCGGAUGACUUGUGGCUGGGGGUGAAAGGCCAAUCAAACCGGGAGAUAGCUGGUUCUCCCCGAAAGCUAUUUAGGUAGCGCCUCGUGAACUCAUCUUCGGGGGUAGAGCACUGUUUCGGCUAGGGGGCCAUCCCGGCUUACCAACCCGAUGCAAACUACGAAUACCGAAGAAUGUUAUCACGGGAGACACACGGCGGGUGCUAACGUCCGUCGUGAAGAGGGAAACAACCCAGACCGCCAGCUAAGGUCCCAAAGUCAUGGUUAAGUGGGAAACGAUGUGGGAAGGCACAGACAGCCAGGAUGUUGGCUUAGAAGCAGCCAUCAUUUAAAGAAAGCGUAAUAGCUCACUGGUCGAGUCGGCCUGCGCGGAAGAUGUAACGGGGCUAAACCAUGCACCGAAGCUGCGGCAGCGACACUAUGUGUUGUUGGGUAGGGGAGCGUUCUGUAAGCCGUUGAAGGUGUGCUGUGAGGCAUGCUGGAGGUAUCAGAAGUGCGAAUGCUGACAUAAGUAACGAUAAAGCGGGUGAAAAGCCCGCUCGCCGGAAGACCAAGGGUUCCUGUCCAACGUUAAUCGGGGCAGGGUGAGUCGACCCCUAAGGCGAGGCCGAAAGGCGUAGUCGAUGGGAAACAGGUUAAUAUUCCUGUACUUGGUGUUACUGCGAAGGGGGGACGGAGAAGGCUAUGUUAGCCGGGCGACGGUUGUCCCGGUUUAAGCAUGUAGGCGGAACGAUUAGGUAAAUCCGGUCGUUUAUUAACGCUGAGGUGUGAUGACGAGGCACUACGGUGCUGAAGUAACAAAUGCCCUGCUUCCAGGAAAAGCCUCUAAGCAUCAGGUAACAUCAAAUCGUACCCCAAACCGACACAGGUGGUCAGGUAGAGAAUACCAAGGCGCUUGAGAGAACUCGGGUGAAGGAACUAGGCAAAAUGGUGCCGUAACUUCGGGAGAAGGCACGCUGAUAUGUAGGUGAAGCCCCUGCGGGUGGAGCUGAAAUCAGUCGAAGAUACCAGCUGGCUGCAACUGUUUAUUAAAAACACAGCACUGUGCAAACACGAAAGUGGACGUAUACGGUGUGACGCCUGCCCGGUGCCGGAAGGUUAAUUGAUGGGGUUAGCGGCAACGCGAAGCUCUUGAUCGAAGCCCCGGUAAACGGCGGCCGUAACUAUAACGGUCCUAAGGUAGCGAAAUUCCUUGUCGGGUAAGUUCCGACCUGCACGAAUGGCGUAAUGAUGGCCAGGCUGUCUCCACCCGAGACUCAGUGAAAUUGAACUCGCUGUGAAGAUGCAGUGUACCCGCGGCAAGACGGAAAGACCCCGUGAACCUUUACUAUAGCUUGACACUGAACACUGGUCCUUGAUGUGUAG
Molecule: ribosomal RNA, 2125 nt
Filed under: Enterobacter roggenkampii
Lineage: Bacteria; Pseudomonadati; Pseudomonadota; Gammaproteobacteria; Enterobacterales; Enterobacteriaceae
Description: partial 23S ribosomal RNA
Rfam family: Bacterial large subunit ribosomal RNA
Source: RNAcentral